AGGGGAUGUUUUCGUGUGCUGCUGCAGCUGUCGGGAGUCAACAACACAGAGCCUGCGCUAUCGUUCAGGGAGACCACUGCGCUGAGGAUCUGUGUUCCUGUCCUGGGGCACAUCUGUUGAUCAGCUUGACACCUUGCAACACAUCUGUGAUGUUUGGCCGGAACCAGGAGUGGCAGAGGACAGGCAGGAUUCCACAGGAGACUGCAGUGACUUACCACACUUACUUCAUUAUUUAAAUUCAGAGUUUAUUUUGUACUUGCAAAAUAUAUCAUUAAAAAUACUUAUCAUAUGGAUUUUCACCAGACAUGAAGAAGUCCCACCUCUUGCACAGCGAAUACAAUUUUCUAAGAAUUACAUCCUCUUCCUCUCAUCAUUUUAAAUUUUCUUUAAACAACAUUUACUAGGUCCUUUCAUCUCAAGUUUCUCCAAUAUUGUCUCCCCAAGCUAGAACAGGUCCCAUAUUAUAACCCAGUGCAAGAUUACAGCAGACCCAGAAGCUCAAAUACAAAGCAGUACACACACUUUCUGUAAUUGUUUUCCCUUCAAGGACUCUGACCAGGAACAGGUUUUUCAUGAUUACCACUUCUCUCUACAGGCCACAAAGUUGUUU
Long non-coding RNA from Cygnus olor (mute swan), 610 nucleotides. RefSeq lists it as uncharacterized. Lineage: Eukaryota; Metazoa; Chordata; Aves; Anseriformes; Anatidae. The record is from RefSeq and is a predicted model, not a curated record. The transcript is spliced from 2 exons.